GACGAACGCUGGCGGCGUGCUUACCACAUGCCAGUCGAACGAAGUGGCGAACGGGUGAGUAAAGCGUAAUCAACCUGCCCUUCAGAGGGGGACAACCGUUGGAAACGACUGCUAAUACCGCAUACUGAAGGAGGGGAUUGCGUCUGAUUCUCUAGUUGGAGGGGUAACGGCCGACCAAGACUAUGUGCAGUAGCCUGUCUGGGAGGAUGAACGGCCACAGUGGGACUGAGACACGGCCCAGAAUCCUACGGGAGGCAGCAGUGGGGAAUCUUCCGCAAUGGACGAAAGUCUGACGGAGCAACGCCGCGUGAGUGCUGACGGCCUUCGGGUUGUAAAGCUCUGUUAAUCGGGACGCGGUACCGGAAUAGAAAGCCACGGCUAACUACGUGCCAGCAGCCGCGGUAAUUC
Molecule: ribosomal RNA, 408 nt
Filed under: uncultured bacterium
Lineage: Bacteria
Description: partial 16S ribosomal RNA
Rfam family: Bacterial small subunit ribosomal RNA
Source: RNAcentral